This is an RNA transcript of Pungitius pungitius (ninespine stickleback), 6655 nucleotides long. It is a transcript of the gene named calmin b, with no coding region annotated. NCBI's taxonomy places the organism in Eukaryota, Metazoa, Chordata, Actinopteri, Perciformes, Gasterosteidae. The transcript has 11 exons. The record is from RefSeq and is a predicted model, not a curated record.
CUCUCUGUGAGCCCUCACGGGUUGAAAAUACAAUGAAAGUCACUGGAUGAAUGGCAUGUAAAGUUGUGUAAUGGACUCUUGUGCAGCCUUGUAAAGAUGCUCCCUGCAUGGACCAUUGCUUGUGGGCACAACAAGGUGGCAGAAAGCAACUCAAAGAAUGAAAAGGCGUGACUUCUGGAGCUUCAGAAGACUCACGUGCGAUGUUCCUUGGACAAACCCCUGCCUUCCACGGUGGUGGCGGUCUCUCACCGUAGCUGUCACCUUUCUUAAGGCAGGUAGAGCAAAGCCUGACAGCUAGAUAUUGUUUGAACCAGGGGGAGCUCUUCCUGCUGCGCACGGUCAACUGUCACAGUAACAAUUUGAUCAGUUUGUUGUAAAUCUACUUUAAUUUCUUCAAUAAUAAAUCCUGUUCUGUUUGCAAUCAUACGGAAGACCUUGGUUUAGGUUUACAGAGCAGACCUGUUCAUGUGCUGUUAUUUCAUGUGGAUUGGACAUAGAUUCUCGUCCAUUUUGCCAGCUUCUGCUAUGAUUAUGAAAGAAUUUUCUCGUCCCUCAUAAAACAUGCAUUGAACUCCCCAUUUGACUUUGAAAGAGGAAAAUACUACAGAGCUGAGAUACAUGUACGGUAGGUCUUUGCAGAACAAGCGGGACUGCCAUACACAUCCUGUUCUACACAUUAUGAUCCAACAUGCUUUAGGUUCCCGCAGAUAUUCUCAAGUGAUGGGAAAGUUACCUUUGUGAUUGCAUCAAUCCUUUAUCAUUUUCCAAAGUGUCCCAAUAUCAUACAUUUUUCAAUAUGAAAAUAACCAAAGUGGACAGAGUAGAAGUCCUUCAUUCACUAACUUCAGCCUUGAAUCAAGUGGGCUGCUCUAAUAUAAUAGUAAUACACUAUGUUUUAAUAAAACCUUUUAAAGAUUACGUGGGUCCUUUUUUGGUACUGAGAAGACGGUCAUGCAGCAGAGGGCCACACACCACUGUGGCAUGAACUCCAGCUGGUGGUGAAGAACAUUUCAGAGGGCAAAGAAAAGUCUGCCUGCCGGUCCUCUCAAACCGUCUUUAUUGGCAACGAAAGAACUGUGUGGAGUGUGUAAAGUAAAAAGCAUGGCUGCAGCUGCUCACUGUUUGUAUUCCUUCGUCUGAGGGAAACGUGCUUCUUUCAUUAAACAGUGUCAUGAUGAAGGAAAAGGGCAUGUCAUUUAGCGGAUGCUUUUUUCCAAAGUGACUUAAAAUAAUUGCAACCAUAAGGAAACUCAGAAGAACAAGGAAGUGUAAUUUCAUAAAUAAUUUUAAGUACAGUUUAAGUGCUACAGUUAGUGUUUUAGUGGAGGUGUAGUCUGAAGAGGUGUGUCUUUUAGUCUGAAGAUGUAGAGGCUCUCUGUGGUCCUCAGAGAGCUCCUUCCACCAUUUAGGAGCAGGACAGCAAAGAGUGGUGAUCUAGUCGAGUGUUUUGCUCUCAGUGAGGGAGGAACAAGCACCUUGAUGUUGGGAUGGAGGGUUUCACCAUGUCCUGGAUGGAGACUGGACCCCAUCCAUUCACAGCAUGCUACCUGAGAACCAAUGCUUUGAGUUACAGGCCUCUGCAGGUAACACAUACCACCCGUAACCUCACCACAGCUGACUCCCCUCUGGAACCUGUAAGGAAGUCAUGUGACUGUCUGCCGGCCUCCACAUAGUUCUGUGGACCGCAGCCCACCAGUAGGAUCCAGGUGGAGGUGUGUCAGGGGGAGUGGAGCGUGUUCAGGCAAGACUCACCGCCUCACUUUGCCUUUUCGUCAUCCUUAUUCUGUAAGGAAACCGCAGAGCUCCUCUAAUUGCUCCGAGAGCCUCACAUAUUGGUUUUACCUCGCGUCCUUAUCUCCAUGAUGGAUCAUAAGUAGACAAGUGUGGUUAAAUGAGAAUGAAGGACAUCGCCAACAGGGAAUCCGGGAGACAGUCAGUGGGAGAGAUCAGUGAUCAUCGUGUGCGGCAGCCUCAAGAUGAAAGGAAAGCAGUGCGGAGGAGAACCUUCACCAGGUGGAUGAAUAUGUUUCUGCAGAGACGCGACCCUCCAGAAGAAGUGCUCGACCUGUUUACCGACCUUCAGGAUGGACGAAUACUCAUGGCUCUGCUGGAGGAGCUGUCAGGGUGCAAGCUGCUUUACAGAUUUAGGUCAUCUUCUCAACGCAUUUUCAGACUGAACAAUAUUUCCAAAGCCCUUGCGUUCCUCGAUGAUAGACACGUGAAGCUGCCUGGCAUCGAUGCCACAGGUAUCGCUGAUGGCAUCCCCUCUGCUGUUCUUGAACUGGUCUGGAAUAUGGUCCUGCACUUCCAGGUAAAGACCCAAGGCCUUCAGAGGAAUUUGUCUUCCAGCCUCAUUUCCUUAACACCGAGCAUUUACCCCUCCUCUAGCGACCUCUUACCACAGCCAAAUGACAUUGGCAGCUACUGCGGCAACACCCUGCCAAGCAAAGGCAGGAAGGCUGCCAGAGGGCCAAAGUACCAUGGGAAAGCAAUCAAGAAGCUGCUCCAGUGGGUCCAAAGAUGCACAUCAAGGUUUGGGGUGGAGGUGCAUGACUUCGGGAGUUGCUGGAGGAGUGGGCUGGCAUUCCUUGCUUUGAUUAAGUCCAUAAACCCAGACCUGGUCGACCUGACGGAGAGUUUCUCCAAACAGCCAAGAGAAAACAUCCAGCUCGCCUUCACAAUAGCCCAUUGCAGUUUGGAUAUACAACCUCUGCUGGAGCCUGAAGAUGUGUCUGGCCCUUCACUCGAUGAGCAGUCCAUCAUCACCUACGUGUCUAUGUUUCUGGGGCAUUGUUCCGGCACAGAUCAGGAUGAUACAACAUAUAUCCAAGUGUCUGAGACCCCAAAUUGUGGAUCACUUGAGUCUGUCAGCACUGAAGAGACCCAAGCUGAUGAACCAAAGGCCCAAGCAUCAGUCCAAGGUUCAGAGAAGAGCCGCGAGCAGCUACUGUGGAAACGCUGGGCGCAAAGACCCUCAGGGAGCCCCGUAAACACCUUGAUUACCACUAGCGAGGCCAUGCCCCUAUUCAGCAAAAAGAAAAUCCGGAGUCAAAGCAUUUUACAGCUACCCAGUGCCCUGGAUGCAGGGGUACUCAGCCAGGAGAUCCGAUCAGGGAUGGAGAACGCGUCUUCGGAUCAGGGCGACAGCAAGCCCACGGUGGAUGAAAGUCACUUCUCUUUCAGUUCAGAGGAAGGAAUCUACAGCCUGUCAGUGCUGGAUUCAGAUGAGGAGGAGGCCUACAGCUAUAUCCUGGAUCUGAAUAAAGAGGUUUUUCCACCAUAUAAUGAGUUGAAAAGGCAAGUGCCCAGGGUGGAAGAGCAAACAGAGGAAGAAAUGUUCAUGAGCAGGCACCACACUGAAGAGUUAAAACACCUGGAAACAUGGAAGAAGACAUCAAACAGGAGAAGACAUCUAGAAGACUCAAAUGCUCGCCUGAUGAAGCGUGGUUGGUGUGAAAGAGAGGCUCCGAUUGGAACAAAGAACUCAAAGCUUUUUGAUGGAGGUAGUCAGAAGAUAGAAGUUGAGAAAAAGAUUGAAAGGGGACCUCUUGAAAAAUGUGGACAAGUAGAGAAAGUUCUGAAAUUCAAUGAAGGGCAGGAGAGAAAGUCAGGGAAAGAACAAGUGGAAGGGUAUAAGGAUGAAGAGAAGGGAACUCAGCAGAGUGUUGGUAAUUUAGAGAGUUUCAAGGUUGGAGUAAAAGCAAUAGUUUUCACUGAUAAGACUACAUAUGAAUCCAAAGGAGCUGGGGAAACUAGAAUGAAUACAGAAGAAGUAAAUGACUCGACAGAAACUGGCCCGAACAUGGAAGAAUUAACCAAUGAAGAAGAUGAGGAAGGAUGCAGAGAUGGAGUGAUGGUUGCUGUGGUUGCAGCAGAGCAGAAAGACAGGAACCUUAAGGUGAAGAGACAAGAACUCACUGGCAAGGCGUCAACAGUAGCAGGUAAAACGACCCUCGAAAGUGACACGAGAGCAGGCGUCAACGUCCAGGGUGUCGACAGUAAUUGGAUACCUGGCUGUACUGCAGCUCCUCCCUCAUCCAGAGAAGGAGGAUUCAUCACUCAAUCCUCUGCUGCUCCUUGGGACGUAACCCCAUCAGAGCAGUACAUGCUGUUGGUCCUGUGGAUCCUGCUCUACUGCUACUUCAUCUUCUGAGUGCCCCUGCUGUCCACGCUUCUUGUUAAGAUAUGCUUAUUAGCCACUAACGAGCCAAACAGGGACACUUUGGACUGGAUUGACUCUUUAUGUGGGUCACAAAAUCCCCCGUAAGGAGGCCCUUAAUGACUGUGUGAGCUUUUUGCUGGCAUCAGAAAUGAUUAAUCAUUUGGUUUAUAGUUUCAGAUAAAAUACAGGGUUAUCCUCAUUAUCACACAUUUUGUCAGCUACUCGGCCUUACCCACACGUUACUGGGGAUGGGUGUGGGCUGUUUGUGCAGGUCCAGUGCCCUGUUUAUUUGAUGUACGUUUCAGGCAGAGAUCCUUCUUUUGAUUUCACAGACUUUCAUAGACUUUACCAACCACAUGGUGGCGUCGCAGCAUCACAGAAGCGACUGUCACACAGGUUCGGCUGCUCAUCCCUCAACACUUGCUGUUUAGAGAGCAGCUGUAUUGACACUGUGGAACUAAGCUGAUAAUAUUUAAUGAGCACCUUGACAUUUUGCAGCCUCUCACUGUCACUUGCAUCAUUGUGUAUCAUUGUCCUCAUCGCUACAGAUAUUGUGUGAUAAAGGCUCAUCAACAACACCGGAUUUUCUUUUCAUGACAUUUUUGUGACUAUGCAAUAUAAAUAAUAAAUCGUUGUCUCAUUUUUAAAAUAUAUUCUGGUCCUUUCCACAAGAUCAAACUAGUGCAGUAGACAUUCAAGGGACACACUCAAUGACUUUGUUGGAAUACAAGUGUGUAAAAGUGAGUGAAACUAGAGCAGCAUUUAUAUGCAUCCGUUGCAUAAGUGUUCAAAAUCCAUGUUGACCACAAUGUGUAAAGGGGGGGACGAGUUGUCCCUGUUGUCAAUGUCCACCAAACACACACACACACACACACACCUUUAUUGGCGGCUGAAAUUCUAAGAAACAAAAAAAAUCAUGCCGCCUUUGUUUGCUUGGAGCUCAACCCACGGGUCAAGAGCUCAUCCCCCAGAGAUCAAUAUACUUUCAACAGUACCACCCCCGCACAAAACCACGAGAACAGCACAUCCCCACAGCUGAAGCUAGGCUGGUCUUCUGAGAGACCAACCCAAACCCAGCGCCCUAGAACCAGGCCAGGCCAGGAUGGCGAGAGAAGAAGCUUUGAUGUUUGCUCUGUAUGGUUUUACAUGUCUCACUGCGCUGGCAUGGCUAACAGGUCUCACGGCAGAUGGGUCGGUUCGACGGAAGCCUGAGAAACUUUGAAGCAGGCCUCUGCGAAGGGAACAAGAGGUCAAUGAGCAGCUCAACUCAUUGGCCCUAAACACAGCCUUGGCCUUUGAGCCGUACCGCAACCUGACAACCAGCGCCGCUGCUGAGCAGCAACAGCACAACUUCCUGUUCUCGCCAUUGGGCCUGCGUCAGCUCUGGUGCUGCUGUCCCGGAUGUGUGGUUCUGUCAGUCGGAACCAGGCCCUGGAGGCCCUGGGGCUGGCCACCUUAGCUGCUCUUGCAGAUCUGCAACACACCCUCUCUCUACAUGAAGGGGGUGGGGUCCAAAGGGUAGAACCUGGAACUGGAACGGGAGCUGGCAUUGGGGCACCAGCAGGGGUGGAAUUUGGAGAAGAUGCUGCAAACAGAACUGAUGUAGAUGAUUGGGAGAAGGGUGGGCAUGAAAGUAUCGGUCAGCUCAGAGUUUUGAGCAGCCUACAUGUUGAUGGAACACCAUGUUCGGAGACGACUCCUCUGAGGCAGGCAGAAAUCCGUUUCCCGAAGUUCCAACCAAGGAAAUCCUACAGUUUAGAAGACCUGCUGAGGAACUCUGGGGUGUCAUGGGUUUUCUCGCACGCAACCCACUUGAAACUCGCCACGGUUAAGAGGAAUCCAAAAUAUCAUAUUUCUCUAUGCCAAGGUGGAUUACCAUAAAACCAGGAUGCUGAAGCACUUGAUUGAGCCCUUACCACACAUUCAGAAACCGACCUCUGUGGGAUCCAUUGGAGUUUUUAUGUCACUCUUUAAUGGCCACAUUCCCUGUCUUCUUUCAGGCUCUUCAUGAGGUUAUGCUGGAGGUGGAAGAGAUCGAGUACGAAGAUGGGGGCAGACCUGACAGUUGACUGGACUUCUCCGUUCCCCCGAGGAUCACCUUUAACAGGCCGUUCAUGCUCAUAACCUACGACCAUCUCACGGGGCUUGUGGCGCUCAUGGGGAGAAUUAUCGAUCCUACAAAUGUCUAGACUGGAAUAAACAGCGUAGAUUUAUUGGGCUUUGCUAUAAUACUACAUCCACUUAUAUUACACAAUUUGUGUUUUUUUCCCCCCAAUAGAAUUGUGUAUCAUCAUGGGGAAAGAAAAGAACUAUCCUGCAGUUAUAUCAAAAUGCAGAGUGCUUUGUUUCACCUCCAAUUUUCCAAAACAUUACAGCCUGAUUUACAGUUUUAUCCCCCUAUGUGCACAAAAUGAUGAAAAGAAAUUCAAAUUGAAGUAAUUCAUCUCUGUGACUGAAUCUCGUUCUAUUCUUGCAAAAAACAUAAAACCCUUU